GACGAACGCUGGCGGCGUGCUUAACACAUGCAAGUCGAACGAAGAGCGAUGGAAGCUUGCUUCUAUCAAUCUUAGUGGCGAACGGGUGAGUAACGCGUAAUCAACCUGCCCUUCAGAGGGGGACAACAGUUGGAAACGACUGCCAAUACCGCAUACGAUCUAAUCUCGGCAUCGAGGAUAGAUGAAAGGUGGCCUCUACAUGUAAGCUAUCACUGAAGGAGGGGAUUGCGUCUGAUUAGCUAGUUGGAGGGGUAACGGCCCACCAAGGCGAUGAUCAGUAGCCGGUCUGAGAGGAUGAACGGCCACAUUGGGACUGAGACACGGCCCAGACUCCUACGGGAGGCAGCAGUGGGGAAUCUUCCGCAAUGGACGAAAGUCUGACGGAGCAACGCCGCGUGAGCGAUGACGGCCUUCGGGUUGUAAAGCUCUGUUAAUCGGGACGAAAGGCCUCCUUGCGAAUAGGGAGAAGGAUUGACGGUACCGGAAUAGAAAGCCACGGCUAACUACGUG
Molecule: ribosomal RNA, 510 nt
Filed under: uncultured bacterium
Lineage: Bacteria
Description: partial 16S ribosomal RNA
Rfam family: Bacterial small subunit ribosomal RNA
Source: RNAcentral